Molecule: ribosomal RNA, 515 nt
Filed under: uncultured bacterium
Lineage: Bacteria
Description: bacterial SSU rRNA
Rfam family: Bacterial small subunit ribosomal RNA
Source: RNAcentral
GUGCAGGAAGACGGCCCUCUGGGUUGUAAACUGCUUUUAUCUGGGAAGAAAAAGUCCAUGCGUGGAAAAUUGCCGGUACCAGAUGAAUAAGCACCGGCUAACUCCGUGCCAGCAGCCGCGGUAAUACGGAGGGUGCAAGCGUUGUCCGGAUUUAUUGGGUUUAAAGGGUGCGUAGGCGGCUGAAUAAGUCAGCGGUGAAAGACUUCGGCUUAACCGGAGCAGUGCCGUUGAUACUGUUUAGCUUGAGUGUUGGAGGGGUACAUGGAAUUGAUGGUGUAGCGGUGAAAUGCAUAGAUACCAUCAGGAACACCGAUAGCGAAGGCAUUGUACUGGCCAACAACUGACGCUGAGGCACGAAAGUGUGGGGAUCGAACAGGAUUAGAUACCCUGGUAGUCCACACCGUAAACGAUGAUUACUCGCUGUUAUGGUGCAUUCUGUAGCGGCCAAGCGAAAGCGUUAAGUAAUCCACCUGGGGAGUACGCCGGCAACGGUGAAACUCAAAUGAAUUGACGGG